RNAcentral lists this ribosomal RNA (358 nucleotides) under Copromyza sp. JHK-2012. RNAcentral's name for it is "partial 12S ribosomal RNA". Lineage: Eukaryota; Metazoa; Arthropoda; Insecta; Diptera; Sphaeroceridae. The record is from RNAcentral.
AUUUAAAAUGUAAUUUUAAACGCUAAAGUAGUAUUAGUUAUGUUCUUGAAACUUAAAAAAUUUGGCGGUAUUUUAGUCUAUUCAGAGGAACCUGUUCUAUAAUCGAUAAUCCACGAUGGACCUUACUUAAAUUUGUUAAUCAGUUUAUAUACCGUCGUUAUCAGAAUAUUUUAUAAGAAUAAUAAUUUUCAUAAAAUUUUAUUAAAAUGUAUAUCAGAUCAAGGUGUAGCUUAUAUUUAAGAAGAAAUGGGUUACAAUAAAUUUAUUUAAACGGAAGUAAAUAUGAAAAAUUUAUUGAAGGUGGAUUUGAUAGUAAAAUUAUAAAGAUUAAUAAUUUGAUUUUAGCUCUAAAAUAUGU